Molecule: unclassified non-coding RNA, 85 nt
Filed under: Pseudomonas arsenicoxydans
Lineage: Bacteria; Pseudomonadati; Pseudomonadota; Gammaproteobacteria; Pseudomonadales; Pseudomonadaceae
Source: RNAcentral
UGUCGAGUGAAACGAGGCUGCGAUCUUUUGAUUUUGAUCUUUUUUAAAACAAGAUCAAAAGAUCGCAGCCUCGUUUCACUCGACA